AAGAGUGGCGAAAGGGUGAGUAACGCGUGAGCAACUUGCCUCCNAGUUGGGAAUAACGUCUGGAAACGGGCGCUAAAACCGGAUGUGAAUAUUUUAUCGCAUGAUUUAAUAUUUAAAAAUUUAUUGCUUGGAGAUGGGCUCGCGUCCCAUUAGCUAGUUGGUGGGGUAAUGGCCUACCAAGGCACCGAUGGGUAGCUGGUCUGAGAGGAUGAUCAGCCACACUGGGACUGAGACACUGCCCAGACUCCUACGGGAGGCUGCAGUCGAGAAUCUUCCGCAAUGGGCGAAAGCCUGACGGAGCAAUGCCGCGUGCAGGAUGAAGGCCUUAGGGUUGUAAACUGCUGUCACCGAGGACGAAAUUUGACGGUACUCGGAGAGGAAGCACCGGCUAACUACGUGCCAGCAGCCGCGGUAAUACGUAGGGUGCAAGCGUUGUUCGGAUUUAUUGGGCGUAAAGGGUCCGCAGGGGGUUUGCUAAGUCUGAUGUGAAAUCCCGUGGCUCAACCACGGAACUGCAUUGGAAACUGGUGAACUAGAGUACUGGAGAGGUAAGCGGAAUUCUUGGUGUAGCGGUGGAAUGCGUAGAUAUCAAGAAGAACACCGAAAGCGAAGGCAGCUUACUGGACAGUCACUGACCCUCAUGGACGAAAGCGUGGGUAGCGA
This 663-nucleotide ribosomal RNA is filed under the name uncultured bacterium. RNAcentral's name for it is "bacterial SSU rRNA". It matches the Rfam family "Bacterial small subunit ribosomal RNA", at positions 91 to 771 of the family's 1533-position model. The record is from RNAcentral.